GCAUUAGAAUAUAGGUAAUCCAGUACCAAAGCACAGUGAGUUGCUUGUAAGUCACUAUGAUGAUCUCAGAUUUGAGAGACACUUAUGUCCAUAUAUUUCAUGAGCUGCUCUUGACAGUAGAGCGUUUAGCAAGUGGGUCACUUGUUUAGUAAUGAUAUACUCCUACAUCUCAUCUGUAUGCCAUACCAGUGUCUGUACACUCCUUGGUUACGAGGACAACCAAUCUAUAUGGCACACAACGACCUACACUCGAUAAAUAUCAUCAUCCUAUCAAUGAUGUAUCAUUUGAUCGGGAGCAUGUUUAAGAACUAUUCAAUAAAUCCUUCCUUAUUGAUCAUAAUAUAGUUCUAGGGACUUCAUCACAACAUAAAAGUUUUAGUAACGAAGAUGUACACCUUGUGAUGAAAAAGUCAAAAUAAUUUUUAUUCGUUGAUCAAUAAUUCAUAUAUAAAAUCUAAUUAUUUACAAUAAACCAAUUGACUUUAGAAC
RNAcentral lists this long non-coding RNA (489 nucleotides) under Elaeis guineensis (African oil palm). RNAcentral describes it as "long non-coding RNA (EGUI_LNC048002)". The record is from RNAcentral. Lineage: Eukaryota; Viridiplantae; Streptophyta; Magnoliopsida; Arecales; Arecaceae.